Molecule: ribosomal RNA, 439 nt
Filed under: uncultured bacterium
Lineage: Bacteria
Description: partial 16S ribosomal RNA
Rfam family: Bacterial small subunit ribosomal RNA
Source: RNAcentral
CUACGGGAGGCAGCAGUGGGGAAUCUUGGACAAUGGGCGCAAGCCUGAUCCAGCCAUGCCGCGUGAGUGGAGAAGGCCUUAGGGUCGUAAAGCUCUUUCGCCAGAGAUGAUAAUGACAGUAUCUGGUAAAGAAACCCCCGCUAACUCCGUGCCAGCAGCCGCGGUAAUACGGAGGGGGUUAGCGUUGUUCGGAAUUACUGGGCGUAAAGCGCGCGUAGGCGGAUUAGUCAGUCAGAGGUGAAAUCCCAGGGCUCAACCCUGGAACUGCCUUUGAUACUGCUAGUCUUGAGUUCGAGAGAGGUGAGUGGAAUUCCGAGUGUAGAGGUGAAAUUCGUAGAUAUCCGGAGGAACACCAGUGGCGAAGGCGGCUCACUGGCUCGAUACUGACGCUGAGGUGCGAAAGUGUGGGGAGCAAACAGGAUUAGAUACCCGAGUAGUC